Molecule: non-coding RNA, 607 nt
Organism: Phyllostomus discolor (pale spear-nosed bat)
Lineage: Eukaryota; Metazoa; Chordata; Mammalia; Chiroptera; Phyllostomidae
Source: the annotation of a RefSeq genome assembly
GGCUGGACUUUGGGCCUCCCGUGCAGCUGCAGCUGGGCCUGGGCAGGGGCUGGAGGGGGUGACAGGAGGUUUAUGUUCGAGGCUGUGUCACUGUGUUAUGUGUUCGGCGGAGGGACCCAUCUGACCGUCCUGGGUCAGCCCAAGUCCGCACCCUCGGUCACCCUGUUCCCGCCCUCCACUGACGAGCUCGGCAACAACAAGGCCACACUGGUGUGUCUGGUCAGUGACUUCUACCCGGGAGCCGUGACAGUGGCCUGGAAGGAAAAUGGCAGCCCCGUCUCCCAGGGCGUGGAGACCACCAAGCCCUCCAAGCAGAGCAACAACAAGUAUGCGGCCAGCAGCUACCUGAGCAUGUCAGCCAGCAAGUGGAAAUCUGCCAGCCAGUACAGCUGCCAGGUGACCCACGAAGGCAGCACUGUGGAGAAGACAGUGGUCCCCUCGGAGUGUUCCUAACACUGAGCCCCCAUUUUCUGGGACUCUGCUCAGCCACAUCAUCCAAUCCCUAGCUCUCCACUGUAUCCCUGGGACUCCUGCCCCUGUCUCCUCAGACUGGGCUGGUCUCAAAAACUCCCCUUUUCUCCAUUUUCUCAAUAAAACCCUGGACAUU